This 626-nucleotide ribosomal RNA is filed under the name uncultured bacterium. RNAcentral's name for it is "bacterial SSU rRNA". It matches the Rfam family "Bacterial small subunit ribosomal RNA", at positions 246 to 863 of the family's 1533-position model. The record is from RNAcentral.
UAGUUGGUGGGGUAAAGGCCUACCAAGGCGACGAUCUGUAGCGGGUCUGAGAGGAUGAUCCGCCACACUGGGACUGAGACACGGCCCAGACUCCUACGGGAGGCAGCAGUGGGGAAUAUUGGACAAUGGGGGGAACCCUGAUCCAGCCAUGCCGCGUGUGUGAAGAAGGCCUUUUGGUUGUAAAGCACUUUAAGUGGGGAGGAGGCUUACCUGGUUAAUACCUGGGCUAAGUGGACGUUACCCACAGAAUAAGCACCGGCUAACUCUGUGCCAGCAGCCGCGGUAAUACAGAGGGUGCGAGCGUUAAUCGGAUUUACUGGGCGUAAAGCGCGCGUAGGUGGUUAAUUAAGUCAAAUGUGAAAUCCCCGAGCUUAACUUGGGAAUUGCAUUCGAUACUGGUUAGCUAGAGUAUGGGAGAGGAUGGUAGAAUUCCAGGUGUAGCGGUGAAAUGCGUAGAGAUCUGGAGGAAUACCGAUGGCGAAGGCAGCCAUCUGGCCUAAUACUGACACUGAGGUGCGAAAGCAUGGGGAGCAAACAGGAUUAGAUACCCUGGUAGUCCAUGCCGUAAACGAUGUCUACUAGCCGUUGGGGGAUUUGAUCCUUUAGUGGCGCAGCUAACGCGAUAA